GCCCAUGAUGAACGCUAGCUACAGGCUUAACACAUGCAAGUCGAGGGGCAUGGGAAGAAAGCUUGCUUUCUUUGCUGGCGACCGGCGCACGGGUGAGUAACACGUAUCCAACCUGCCCUUUACUCGGGGAUAGCCUUUCGAAAGAAAGAUUAAUACCCGAUGGCAUAAUGAUUCCGCAUGGUUUCAUUAUUAAAGGAUUCCGGUAAAGGAUGGGGAUGCGUUCCAUUAGGUUGUUGGUGAGGUAACGGCUCACCAAGCCUUCGAUGGAUAGGGGUUCUGAGAGGAAGGUCCCCCACAUUGGAACUGAGACACGGUCCAAACUCCUACGGGAGGCAGCAGUGAGGAAUAUUGGUCAAUGGGCGCUAGCCUGAACCAGCCAAGUAGCGUGAAGGAUGAAGGCUCUAUGGGUCGUAAACUUCUUUUAUAUAAGAAUAAAGUGCAGUAUGUAUACUGUUUUGUAUGUAUUAUAUGAAUAAGGAUCGGCUAACUCCGUGCCAGCAGCCGCGGUAAUACGGAGGAUCCGAGCGUUAUCCGGAUUUAUUGGGUUUAAAGGGAGCGUAGGUGGACUGGUAAGUCAGUUGUGAAAGUUUGCGGCUCAACCGUAAAAUUGCAGUUGAUACUGUCAGUCUUGAGUACAGUAGAGGUGGGCGGAAUUCGUGGUGUAGCGGUGAAAUGCUUAGAUAUCACGAAGAACUCCGAUUGCGAAGGCAGCUCACUGGACUGCAACUGACACUGAUGCUCGAAAGUGUGGGUAUCAAACAGGAUUAGAUACCCUGGUAGUCCACACAGUAAACGAUGAAUACUCGCUGUUUGCGAUAUACAGUAAGCGGCCAAGCGAAAGCAUUAAGUAUUCCACCUGGGGAGUACGCCGGCAACGGUGAAACUCAAAGGAAUUGACGGGGGCCCGCACAAGCGGAGGAACAUGUGGUUUAAUUCGAUGAUACGCGAGGAACCUUACCCGGGCUUAAAUUGCAGUGGAAUGAUGUGGAAACAUGUCAGUGAGCAAUCACCGCUGUGAAGGUGCUGCAUGGUUGUCGUCAGCUCGUGCCGUGAGGUGUCGGCUUAAGUGCCAUAACGAGCGCAACCCUUAUCUUUAGUUACUAACAGGUUAUGCUGAGGACUCUAGAGAGACUGCCGUCGUAAGAUGUGAGGAAGGUGGGGAUGACGUCAAAUCAGCACGGCCCUUACGUCCGGGGCUACACACGUGUUACAAUGGGGGGUACAGAAGGCAGCUAGCGGGUGACCGUAUGCUAAUCCCAAAAUCCUCUCUCAGUUCGGAUCGAAGUCUGCAACCCGACUUCGUGAAGCUGGAUUCGCUAGUAAUCGCGCAUCAGCCACGGCGCGGUGAAUACGUUCCCGGGCCUUGUACACACCGCCCGUCAAGCCAUGGGAGCCGGGGGUACCUGAAGUACGUAACCGCAAGGAUCGUCCUAGGGUAAAACUGGUGACUGGGGCUAAGUCGUAACAAGGU
This 1471-nucleotide ribosomal RNA is filed under the name uncultured bacterium. Its description in RNAcentral is "bacterial SSU rRNA". It matches the Rfam family "Bacterial small subunit ribosomal RNA". The record is from RNAcentral.